UUUCGCUUCCCUAAGAGGGUAAGAAGAUCAAGUCCAUAAAUUCUGCAUGGUACUUGGGAAAGCCAGCAUGAAAGUAGAAAGGAAGACUCUGAAAUGAGUUAUUUUAGGGAGGAAGGAGUCUUCAAAUCUUGAAAAGCUGGGGAUACCAUACGGCCUGAAGAUUGUGCCACCCCAGUCGUAUCGUGCCCCAUGUCAGCUGGAAGCUCAGUGAAUCCUGACAAUCCUGUUAUGAGUUUGUGGUCUCAUUUCUUCCAUUCACGCAGGAACACCAACCCAGAAGAUUGCACUGUGAGAAAAUGAGCUAUUUACAUGGAUAGUACACAGUACAGCA
This is a long non-coding RNA of Fukomys damarensis (Damara mole-rat), 331 nucleotides long. RefSeq lists it as uncharacterized. The record is from RefSeq and is a predicted model, not a curated record. NCBI's taxonomy places the organism in Eukaryota, Metazoa, Chordata, Mammalia, Rodentia, Bathyergidae. The transcript has 3 exons.